Molecule: ribosomal RNA, 253 nt
Filed under: uncultured bacterium
Lineage: Bacteria
Description: partial 16S ribosomal RNA
Rfam family: Bacterial small subunit ribosomal RNA
Source: RNAcentral
UACGUAGGGUGCAAGCGUUGUCCGGAAUUAUUGGGCGUAAAGAGCUCGUAGGCGGUCUGUCACGUCGGCUGUGAAAUCCCGAGGCUCAACCUCGGGUCUGCAGUCGAUACGGGCAGACUAGAGUAUUGCAGGGGAGACUGGAAUUCCUGGUGUAGCGGUGAAAUGCGCAGAUAUCAGGAGGAACACCGGUGGCGAAGGCGGGUCUCUGGGCAAUAACUGACGCUGAGGAGCGAAAGCGUGGGGAGCGAACAGG